This 489-nucleotide ribosomal RNA is filed under the name uncultured bacterium. RNAcentral's name for it is "partial 16S ribosomal RNA". It matches the Rfam family "Bacterial small subunit ribosomal RNA", at positions 29 to 506 of the family's 1533-position model. The record is from RNAcentral.
AUUGAACGCUGGCGGCAGGCCUAACACAUGCAAGUCGAACGGUAACAGGAAGAAGCUUGCUUCUUUGCUGACGAGUGGCGGACGGGUGAGUAAUGUCUGGGAAACUGCCUGAUGGAGGGGGAUAACUACUGGAAACGGUAGCUAAUACCGCAUAACGUCGCAAGACCAAAGAGGGGGACCUUCGGGCCUCUUGCCAUCGGAUGUGCCCAGAUGGGAUUAGCUAGUAGGUGGGGUAACGGCUCACCUAGGCGACGCUCCCUAGCUGGUCUGAGAGGAUGACCAGCCACACUGGAACUGAGACACGGUCCAGACCCCUACGGGAGGCAGCAGUGGGGAAUAUUGCACAAGGGGCGCAAGCCUGAGGCAGCCAUGCCGGGUGUAAGAAGAAGGCCUUCGGGUUGUAAAGUACUUUCCGCGGGGGGGAAGGGAGUAAAGUUAAAACCUGUACUCAUUGACGUUACCCGGAAAAGAAGCAGCGGCAAACCCCGG